GGCAACAUCGGUCCAAUCCUUAAAGUCAUCCUCAGUUCGGACUGGGGUCUGCAACCGACCCCACGAAGCUGGAUUCGCUAGUAAUCGCGCAUCAGCCAUGGCGCGGUGAAUACGUUCCCGGGCCUUGUACACACCGCCCGUCAAGCCAUGAAAGCCGGGGGCGCCUGAAGUCCGUGACCGCGAGGGUCGGCCUAGGGUGAAACCGGUGAUUGGGGCUAAGUCGUAACAAGGUAGC
This 235-nucleotide ribosomal RNA is filed under the name uncultured bacterium. Its description in RNAcentral is "partial 16S ribosomal RNA". It matches the Rfam family "Bacterial small subunit ribosomal RNA", at positions 1256 to 1500 of the family's 1533-position model. The record is from RNAcentral.